Non-coding RNA from Podarcis lilfordi (Lilford's wall lizard), 75 nucleotides. Lineage: Eukaryota; Metazoa; Chordata; Lepidosauria; Squamata; Lacertidae. The record is from the annotation of a GenBank genome assembly.
GGUCUGCUGCUCAAUGGAAGAGCACCUGCUUUGCAUGCUGAAGGUCUCAGGAUCGAUCCCUGCAGUGACGGACCU